GAUGAACGCUGGCGGCGUGCCUAAUACAUGCAAGUCGAACGGAGAUUGUAGCAAUACGGUCUUAGUGGCGAACGGGUGAGUAACGCGUUGGUAACCUGCCCCGAAGCGUGGGAUAACGGUCCGAAAGGACCACUAAUACCACAUGUGAUCCCGAGGAAUAGAUACUUGGGAUGAAAGGAGCAAUUCGCUUCGGGAGGGACCUGCGUCCCAUCAGCUAGUUGGUAGGGUAACGGCCUACCAAGGCGAUGACGGGUAGGGGACCUGAGAGGGUGGCCCCCCAAAUGGAACUGAAACACGGUCCAUACACCUACGGGUGGCAGCAGUAGGGAAUAUUGGUUAAUGUGCGAAAGCGCGAACCAGCAACGCCGCGUGUGCGAUGAAGGCCUUCGGGUCGUAAAGCACUUUUUGCAGGGAAGAGGAAGGCGGUACCUGCAGAAUAAGUCUCGGCUAACUACGUGCCAGCAGCCGACGGUAAAACGUAGCGUG
RNAcentral lists this ribosomal RNA (486 nucleotides) under uncultured bacterium. RNAcentral's name for it is "bacterial SSU rRNA". It matches the Rfam family "Bacterial small subunit ribosomal RNA", at positions 28 to 533 of the family's 1533-position model. The record is from RNAcentral.